GUCGCUGAAAACGAACGACCUCACCUCAAGUCGUUCAUUCAAAUAAAAAGACUAUAUCACCCUGACGUGGUUCAUACGCAACGUACCAUUUGAUGAAGGUGUAAGCACACACGCCUCUUCAGAUCUAAUAGAACGGUUCGCCGAGUUCAGUCAGCGAGUUCGCAAAGCACCGUACAGGCACAAAACCUCUGUUGACCUUCGCGAGGUCAACUUUCAUCCGCAUAAUAUUCACUCAG
RNAcentral lists this unclassified non-coding RNA (236 nucleotides) under Athalia rosae (coleseed sawfly). Its description in RNAcentral is "misc RNA ENSAEAG00005002496.1". Lineage: Eukaryota; Metazoa; Arthropoda; Insecta; Hymenoptera; Athaliidae. The record is from RNAcentral.